UACGUAGGGAGCAAGCGUUGUCCGGAAUCAUUGGGCGUAAGGCGCGCGUAGGUGGCCUCAUAAGUCCGCUGUGAAAGUCAAAGGCUCAACCUUUGAAAGCCGGUGGAUACUGUGGGGCUAGAGUACGGAAGAGGCGAGUGGAAUUCCUGGUGUAGCGGUGGAAUGCGCAGAUAUCAGGAGGAACACCAAUAGCGAAGGCAGCUCGCUGGGACGUUACUGACACUGAGGCGCGAAAGCGUGGGGAGCGAACAGG
Molecule: ribosomal RNA, 253 nt
Filed under: uncultured bacterium
Lineage: Bacteria
Description: partial 16S ribosomal RNA
Rfam family: Bacterial small subunit ribosomal RNA
Source: RNAcentral